RNAcentral lists this ribosomal RNA (651 nucleotides) under uncultured Actinomycetales bacterium. RNAcentral describes it as "bacterial SSU rRNA". It matches the Rfam family "Bacterial small subunit ribosomal RNA", at positions 95 to 760 of the family's 1533-position model. The record is from RNAcentral. Lineage: Bacteria; Bacillati; Actinomycetota; Actinomycetes; Actinomycetales.
GUGGCGAACGGGUGAGUAACACGUGGGUAAUCUGCCCUGUACUCUGGGAUAAGCCUGGGAAACUGGGUCUAAUACCGGAUAUGACCUUUCACCGCAUGGUGGGGGGUGGAAAGUUCCGGCGGUAUGGGAUGAACCCGCGGCCUAUCAGCUUGUUGGUGGGGUAAUGGCCUACCAAGGCGACGACGGGUAGCCGGCCUGAGAGGGUGACCGGCCACACUGGGACUGAGACACGGCCCAGACUCCUACGGGAGGCAGCAGUGGGGAAUAUUGCACAAUGGGCGCAAGCCUGAUGCAGCGACGCCGCGUGAGGGAUGACGGCCUUCGGGUUGUAAACCUCUUUCGCCAGGGACGAAGCGCGAGUGACGGUACCUGGAUAAGAAGCACCGGCUAACUACGUGCCAGCAGCCGCGGUAAUACGUAGGGUGCGAGCGUUGUCCGGAAUUAUUGGGCGUAAAGAGCUCGUAGGCGGUUUGUCGCGUCGGCUGUGAAAACCCGAGGCUCAACCUCGGGCCUGCAGUGGGUACGGGCAGACUAGAGUGCGGUAGGGGAGAUUGGAAUUCCUGGUGUAGCGGUGGAAUGCGCAGAUAUCAGGAGGAACACCAAUGGCGAAGGCAGAUCUCUGGGCCGUAACUGACGCUGAGGAGCGAAAGC